This 435-nucleotide ribosomal RNA is filed under the name uncultured bacterium. RNAcentral's name for it is "partial 16S ribosomal RNA". It matches the Rfam family "Bacterial small subunit ribosomal RNA", at positions 28 to 507 of the family's 1533-position model. The record is from RNAcentral.
GACGAACGCUGGCGGCAUGCCUAACACAUGCAAGUCGAACGAUUACCUUCGGGUCUUAGUGGCGCACGGUUGCGUAACGCGUGGUGAUCUGCACUUAGGUUCCCAAUAACAGCUGGAGACGGCUGCUCAUACCGCCUGAUAUCGCGCGAUCAAAGAUUUAUCGCCUGAGGAUGAGCUCGCGUUGGAUUAGGUAGUUGGUAGGUUAAAAUCGUACCAGGCCGCCGAUCCAUAGCUGGGCUGAGAGGAUGAGCAGCCACACCGGUACUGAGACACGGCACAGACUCCUACGGGAGGCAGGAGUGGGGAAUAGUGCACAACGGGCGCAAGCCUGAACCAGCAAUGACGGGUGAGCGAUGAAGGCCGGAGGGUUGUAAAGCGCAUGUAACUGGGAAGAUAAUGACGGUACCGGGAGAAAAAGCCCCGGCUAACUACGUG